UACGUAGGGUGCGAGCGUUGUCCGGAAUUAUUGGGCGUAAAGGGCUCGUAGGCGGUCUGUUGCGUCGGGAGUGAAAACUCAGGGCUUAACCCUGAGCCUGCUUCCGAUACGGGCAGACUAGAGGUAUGCAGGGGAGAACGGAAUUCCUGGUGUAGCGGUGAAAUGCGCAGAUAUCAGGAGGAACACCGGUGGCGAAGGCGGGUCUCUGGGCCGAUACUGACGCUGAGGAGCGAAAGCGUGGGGAGCAAACAGG
RNAcentral lists this ribosomal RNA (253 nucleotides) under uncultured bacterium. RNAcentral's name for it is "partial 16S ribosomal RNA". It matches the Rfam family "Bacterial small subunit ribosomal RNA", at positions 524 to 776 of the family's 1533-position model. The record is from RNAcentral.